UCACUCUCUUCAACAUUUCUAUUUACUCCUACAACUUCAUUGAGUUCUUGUUUAACCUUUCUCAUGGCCUCAGGCUUGCGAAGUAACUCUACCAUGGCCCAUUCUGAUAUUGUGCUUGUAGUCUCUGACCCAGCCAAAAACAUUUCCAAUAUGAUUAUGACGAUUUUUUCAUAUGGGAUCUUCUCAUUCCAAUCUUUCCCAUCACCUUCAAAUUCCAACAAU
RNAcentral lists this unclassified non-coding RNA (222 nucleotides) under Hevea brasiliensis (rubber tree). Lineage: Eukaryota; Viridiplantae; Streptophyta; Magnoliopsida; Malpighiales; Euphorbiaceae. The record is from RNAcentral.